RNAcentral lists this ribosomal RNA (253 nucleotides) under uncultured bacterium. RNAcentral describes it as "partial 16S ribosomal RNA". It matches the Rfam family "Bacterial small subunit ribosomal RNA", at positions 524 to 776 of the family's 1533-position model. The record is from RNAcentral.
UACGUAGGGGGCAAGCGUUGUCCGGAUUUAUUGGGCGUAAAGGGCGCGUAGGCGGUUUCUUAAGUUUGGAGUGACAGUGGGUGGCUUAACUACCCAAGGCCUCUGAAAACUGGGGAACUUGAGGACCAGAGAGGGACAUAGAAUUCCGGGUGGAGUGGUGAAAUGCGUAGAUAUCCGGAGGAAUACCAAAGGCGAAGGCAGUGUCCUGGAGGGUGACUGACGCUGAGGCGCGAAAGCUAGAGGAGCGAACAGG